RNAcentral lists this unclassified non-coding RNA (272 nucleotides) under Hevea brasiliensis (rubber tree). The record is from RNAcentral. Lineage: Eukaryota; Viridiplantae; Streptophyta; Magnoliopsida; Malpighiales; Euphorbiaceae.
GGCAUGUAACUUUCUUUCAACAGGAUCAUUUAAGGGUCUAACUUUGGAUUGAAGCAGAACUUUCGCGCCAAGUCCAAGUCUAUCAGGACGGCCCUCUGGUUCUACUUCUGUUGUUUCAUCCUCUAUACCUUUACUCAUGUUAUUAACCCAUUGUUCAGCCAAUUUCAAUGCCUUUUCCAAUCUGACAAUUUGAUGAGCUCCAGGUUUUUUCUGUGUCUCCUUGCUCAUAGCUAACUCUUUCACUGCACUCGUUUGGCAGAACAGUGAGCAAC